This 253-nucleotide ribosomal RNA is filed under the name uncultured bacterium. RNAcentral describes it as "partial 16S ribosomal RNA". It matches the Rfam family "Bacterial small subunit ribosomal RNA", at positions 524 to 776 of the family's 1533-position model. The record is from RNAcentral.
UACGUAGGGUGCAAGCGUUAAUCGGAAUUACUGGGCGUAAAGCGUGCGCAGGCGGUUCUAUAAGACAGAUGUGAAAUCCCCGGGCUCAACCUGGGAACUGCAUUUGUGACUGUAGAGCUGGAGUACGGUAGAGGGGGAUGGAAUUCCGCGUGUAGCAGUGAAAUGCGUAGAUAUGCGGAGGAACACCGAUGGCGAAGGCAAUCCCCUGGACCUGUACUGACGCUCAUGCACAAAAGCGUGGGGAGCAAACAGG